UGUACCUCCUGGUACAUUAGUUGCUUUCUUGUCAUCCUUGAUCUACAACAAUAACCGUUACUUCAUAGAAAUAAAUGUUGCCUUCUUAUCAGUUUGAGGCUGCUUCUUUCACCGCAAAUUGCUCUGACAAAAUGUGUAGACAUGUAUCAACCAUCCUUCAAAAAAAUGUGUUCAAUAUAGAUAACUCGGCUUCCCAAAUCAAAUCAUAAAGUAAAGGCCAAAGGUCUGCAAGUUAUGUACUUGGUUAGUAUACUGAAUGAACUUGUCAAAAGAACAAAUAUUAUGCCAGCAACCAGCGUGAACACGAACAUCUCAUAAAAGUAUUGAAAGUCUGAAUCCUGAGACUAUCUAGCCACUGCAUCGAGGCGGUUGACUCUACAGUUGGAAUUCACAUGUCCAAACAAUACGGUGUGAGGCACUAUGAGAAGGUGCCCCUAAUGUUUGAAUGUGAUCGGAACUUGCAAUUUUCCCCUCUGGAAACAGUAUGCAACUUCAAGUAGUUGAAGGUAUGUGGAUGUAGAGGAAGAUGAGAGUAUAUGUUGAGCCUAAGGUUUGAAUGCUAAUGCCAUAUUCAUGCAGAAGGAAAACAACACCGUUCUCACAUAAAAAAUUUAUAUCAAAGACACUGUUAUCCAUAAAUAUCUAGUGUAGAUGAUGCAGAAUAAAAUUGGAAUGUGCCUCCUUAAACACUGAGUAGACUCAGGGUCCACCUCGGCGCCCUCCGCUCCCCACCUCCUCAGCCUUGUUGCCAGGUAGUACCGCAUACUCACUGUCUGCAAGCUCACCAUCAUGUACACCCGCUCCUGCAGCACGAAGCGCGUCGACCCAAAAUUAAACCAUGAAGCAUCAGAAACUAAAUGAUGUUAUAGCACAAACAACAUUCAGUUCUACAGCGAAGUUGAAGCCAACUUGAUAGUUAGCACUAUAUAAUUUAGAAAUAUGUAUUGACAAUCAAAAGUGCUUCCUGUAAAAAAAUAGAGGUUAUGCACCUCCAGGAGCCUCCAUUUGACCACGCCAACUCACCCAAAAAACUGGAAGUCACACAAUGGGUCGUGGCUUUAAAUAACAAAACUGAACCACCUAGAAAUCAGGAAGUCACACAAUGCUAACAACAUAUGAAUUUAACCCAUAUCAAAUGUUAAACGAAUAAUUACUUUCUAAUUUAAAGGAGAUAAAGAGUUCAGAAUAGUAUGAAGAAUAUAUAAAUGAAAAUCAGCUAUGAGACAUGGAUGUCAGAUGGCUCGCUAUGUUUUGUAGCACCAAUCUGUGUAUCCAAAUUGAGAUGCUGAGAAACAUGAAUAAGAACUGUAAAAUCAACAAAUCUUAGCAGAAGAUAUGAAAGUGUUACCCUAAUUUUCAGAGUUCAGCAAUGACAUAUGGUUCAAAGUUCAGCAAUGUACAAGCACACAGCAGUACAUAAAAGGAUAUCUCAGGAGGAGCCGAUGCUUACCUAUUGGAAAAACGAGUGUUGUGCGGAGAUCUGCAGCAACGGACGGCUGCCUUCGCGAGGGGCGCAGCGGGAUGAAGAGCUCGUGGAUGGAUCUCUACCGACUACC
Molecule: long non-coding RNA, 1556 nt
Filed under: Triticum aestivum (bread wheat)
Lineage: Eukaryota; Viridiplantae; Streptophyta; Magnoliopsida; Poales; Poaceae
Description: long non-coding RNA (TAES_LNC015852)
Source: RNAcentral